This 682-nucleotide long non-coding RNA is filed under the name Nicotiana benthamiana. Its description in RNAcentral is "long non-coding RNA (NBEN_LNC030681)". Lineage: Eukaryota; Viridiplantae; Streptophyta; Magnoliopsida; Solanales; Solanaceae. The record is from RNAcentral.
AAAAAAGGUGUAUUUUUUGAGAGUUUGAAGAUUCUUCAAUAGUUAAGACUUAGGUUUGGAUCAUUUCUCACCUGCCCUAUUUACAUAAAAAUCAAUAUUACCUAUCCUUAUGAUCUAUGGUCAAGCAAAUUAUAGUAAUAUAUUCUCAAGAAAAUGAUAUUCUUGAGUAGCUUUUGCAAGUAUUCGCGUUCAUGUUGAAAUUGUUAUUGAAUCCCAUGGCAUCUGGCAAGUAUCAUUUCAUAUAUGAAAUUGGAUAAUUCAUUAGUAGAGGGAAAGAAAAAAAAAUACCGAGCUUACAAAAACUAACCACAAUAUUAUUAAGUGCAAAUAUUUCUAGCCUUCUAGGAAUGUCUUUUUAACUUUCUUUGUUAAUUUAACAAGAUCAAUGUUUUGUUUUUCCAUCUUGAGCUUUAAUAAUCUGAUCUGUUUCAUAUAGGAUGACAAACAAAUAUGGAGGUAAAACCAGCAGUUGCCGUGAGGGCCAUCCUUGUUGGAGGAAUUGCUGCAUUUGCAAAAAUCGGUGGUGCUGUUAAAGCUGCAGGAGGUAUAAAAGUAGGUGCAGCUGCUGCUUCUAUGACUGCUGCAGCAACUGCUGCCAUUUCAGGAUCCAAACAAGAAGCAAACACUGCUUCUCAGCACUCAUCAAAAUGAUUCAAUACAAAUUAUAUAAGAUAUAGAAUAG